UCAUGGCCCUUACGAGUAGGGCUACACACGUGCUACAAUGGCGUAUACAGAGGGAAGCGAGAGUGCGAGCUGGAGCGAAUCUCACAAAGUACGUCUAAGUCCGGAUUGGAGUCUGCAACUCGACUCCAUGAAGUCGGAAUCGCUAGUAAUCGCAAAUCAGAAUGUUGCGGUGAAUACGUUCCCGGGCCUUGUACACACCGCCCGUCACACCAUGGGAGUGGGUUGUACCAGAAGUAGAUAGCUUAACCUUCGGGGGGGCGUUUACCACGGUAUGAUUCAUGACUGGGUGAAGUCGUAACAAGGUAACCGUAGGGAA
This 316-nucleotide ribosomal RNA is filed under the name uncultured bacterium. RNAcentral's name for it is "bacterial SSU rRNA". It matches the Rfam family "Bacterial small subunit ribosomal RNA", at positions 1193 to 1509 of the family's 1533-position model. The record is from RNAcentral.